CCUACGGGCGGCAGCAGUGAGGAAUAUUGGUCAAUGGCCGCAAGCCUGAACCAGCCAAGUCGCGUGAGGGAUGACGGUCCUACGGAUUGUAAACCUCUUUUGUCAGGGAGCAAAGGGCGGCACGUGUGGCGUUUUGCGAGUACCUUAAGAAAAGCAACGGCGAACUCCGUGCCAGCAGCCGCGGUAAUACGGGGGAUGCGAGCGUUAACCGGAUUUAUUGGGGUUAAAGGGGGCGCAGGCGGAAUGUCAAGUCAGCGGGAAAAUUUCGGGGGUCAAACCCGUCGUGCCGUUGAAACUGGCGGUCUUGAGUGAGAGAGAGGUAUGCGGAAUGCGUGGUGUAGCGGUGAAAUGCAUAGAUAUCACGCAGAACUCCGAUUGCGAAGGCAGCUUACCGGCGCUCAACUGACGCUCAUGCACGAAAGCGUGGGUAUCGAACAGGAUUAGAUACCCCUGUAGUC
RNAcentral lists this ribosomal RNA (458 nucleotides) under uncultured bacterium. RNAcentral describes it as "partial 16S ribosomal RNA". It matches the Rfam family "Bacterial small subunit ribosomal RNA", at positions 338 to 795 of the family's 1533-position model. The record is from RNAcentral.